UACGUAGGUGGCAAGCGUUGUCCGGAUUUACUGGGUGUAAAGGGCGUGUAGGCGGGGAAGCAAGUCAGAUGUGAAAUCCCAGGGCUUAACUCUGGAGCUGCAUCUGAAACUGUUUUUCUUGAGUGCUGGAGAGGAAAGUGGAAUUCCCAGUGUAGCGGUGAAAUGCGUAGAGAUUGGGAGGAACACCAGUGGCGAAGGCGGCUUUCUGGACAGUAACUGACGCUGAGGAGCGAAAGCGUGGGGAGCAAACAGG
This 253-nucleotide ribosomal RNA is filed under the name uncultured bacterium. RNAcentral's name for it is "partial 16S ribosomal RNA". It matches the Rfam family "Bacterial small subunit ribosomal RNA", at positions 524 to 776 of the family's 1533-position model. The record is from RNAcentral.